CACUUCAAUUCCAACUUUGAGGUGUCAUACUAUUCUCUCAGGUUUAGCAUCUCCUUUUUCUACACAUAUAUAUAAGUAUAUAUAUUUGCUGUAAAUGUCUUCUUUUUUGCAGCGCCUAAAAAGCGGUGCAAUUGUGGUCGACAACACCGCGGCACCCGACAACGCUGGCGUAGUUGUUCGCCGACUAGAGAAGAAGGUCUUGUCCCAGCCCAUAGAGCAGCUGGGGAUCACCUUUGGAAGUGAUGCAGAGGUGACAAGGGUUGCGCCUCACUCGCCAGCCGCCGCCGCUAACAUCCCGGUUGGCUUUAUGGUCUUUGACGUAAAUGGUGAUUUCGUAGAAAAUGAGCAGCAAUUCAUUGAGGCUGCGCGCAAGAGCAUUAACCUCACAAUAAAGCUUCAGAAUACAUCUGGCAUGUCAGAACUUAUCGCGCGAGUCUUAGAGGAUGAUGAUCGGCGUGCAAGUGGUGCGAUUUCAACCUCCGCUCUGGACUUCGAUGAGCUGCUGCGCACAACACCGCGCUUCAAUUUCCUUUCCGGUGACCACCCGCUUUUUCGCCGCUACAACAAGCGACUUUCUCAGCAGCGCCAAGCAGCGGCGCUGAUUGCUCAAAGAACUGCAGAGGCAGAGCUUCAGCGGCAAGCGGAAAUCAAGGAGCGCCUUAGAAAAGCUUUGGAGGAGGAAGCCGCUGUACAGAAGAAAAAAGAGCAGGAGAAAGCGGAGCUCCAGCGGAUGAGAGCGGCGCAGGAGCCGGCGCGGUUCGUGCCCGAAGAGCCUUUUCUGAAAAUUAUCAAGGAUGAGAGCUCUUUUGGUCAAGUGGAGCGGGAGCUCAAGAAACCCGAACCCGCUGCUGAACCGAAGGUAGAGAGCAAGGCAGAAGUUGCCACAUCAGAGGAUAUCACGAAUACUGCAACAGGGGCAUCGACGACGCUGUCAAACGACGUAGCUGCGACAAUAUCAGCAGAAGAGCUGCUGGUGCUUGUUGGUGUGCCUACCGAAACUAUGGAAACGACAACACCUGCCUUAGAGGACCUUGCCGAGGCUAUUGCGCUGCACCCAUCAGGAAAUACAACCACUUACGUGGCCCUCCCGGCCGAGGAGUACACGCUCUGUUCUGGUGAGCGGGUAGUUAGUAUUAUAAAGAAACGCUCUGGCCCGAUUCCCGCACCACCGCCUGGAAAGCCACCUGUGAUCAACAAAGCUGCCGCCAGCCGUCUCAAUGAACCGGCCAAAAGAGUAAAACCUGUUGAGAAAAUGGUGCGCAAUCGCACCCCUUCCAAUGAACAGCCGUACAAGAGUCGGCACCGCUCGCGAUCACCGCGCUCGCGACGGAGGAGCGAGAGGGACCACUCGUCGAAAGAGCGUUCACGACGCCAUCGGCGUGAUGAGCCGUCCACACAUCGGCAUCACAAAAACUCGCGCGACUCAAAGCAUCGGCGCUAGGAUUCCUUCUCUUGGGGGCUCUUGGUGGUCUGCAGUUUAGAGACAUGGAUUUGUCGAGCAGUGCGCUGUGCAGAGGGAUGGCCUCUCCAGAAUCUCUUUUGCUUUUGGUACGAAAAGUGUGGGACGCUUCGUUAGCUAGUUUUCCUGUAUUGUGGAAACGCGCUUUAGCGCGCCGGAUAUUUGUGGCCUGUGGCACAACUACCACUAUAUAUACCUAUGUCUUGUCGAUAUCAGUCAAUAGGCAGUGUGAAGGGAAUAACCGCGCAGGGUUGAAUGCUCUCUUCUGAACGGUGGUGCACUUCUCAUAGUUCUUAAUUAUCAACUUUUUUUUUACGUGCGGGGUAGGUGUUGUCUGUACGUUUUGAUUCACGUUGUAAUAUAUAUAUAUAUAUAUAUAUGAUGUCUUUCUAUUAUCGGCGCUGCAGCUCCUUGCUUUCUUAAAGCACGAUUAAACGAGUAACGAUUAAAUGUAGUCUGUGGUGCGGUGUCUCAUCUGCGGAAACUGCUCUUUUCUCCUGGUUUGCGAAAAGCACCUUAUUGGCCUCUCUGGGAGUUAUCCGCCGAUCAC
RNAcentral lists this unclassified non-coding RNA (2009 nucleotides) under Leishmania donovani. Its description in RNAcentral is "gene:LdHU3.11.1160(CDS-product:hypothetical_prote in_conserved)". The record is from RNAcentral. Lineage: Eukaryota; Euglenozoa; Kinetoplastea; Trypanosomatida; Trypanosomatidae.